UCAACGAAACACUCUCUCUCUAUCCUCGCAACCCAACCCUACGAAACCCAUUUCUCACAGAGCAUCCCAUCUCUCACUCUACGAAACCCAUUCUCACAGAGCAUCCCAUCUCUCUCUACGAAACCCUCUUUGUCUCUCCUCGCAGCCCAACCCUACGAAACCCAUUUCUCACAGCGCAUCCCAUCUCUCUUUCUGUAGCAAACUUAUUCUCACAGAGCAUCCCAUCUCUCUUUCUGUAGCAAACUCAUUCUCACAGAGUAUCGCAUCUCUCUCUCUACGAAACCCUCUCUCUCCUCGCAGCCCAGCCCUAUGAAACCCAUUUCUCACAGGGCAUCCCAUCUCUGUCUCUGUCUCUCUCUUUCCUCCCAGCUCAAACCCUCUAAUAGUGGCAGCCAUUUCUCACAGAGCAUCCCUAAUCGAGCUGCGGAUGAAACUCAUUCUCACAGAUGUCGCAGCCCAAUCCCUCUAAUCGUGGCAGCCAUUUCUCAUAGAGAAACCCUCUCUCUCUCUCUCUCCUCGCAGCCCAACCCCUCUAAUUGUGGCAGCUAUUUCUCACACAAAAUCGCAGAAGAAGCAGCAGCAACAGAGCCCUCUCUCACAGUAUAAAUACGCAAAACAUAGAAAUAGGUCGAAAAGAUGCUCCACAGAAGAUGCAGUAAAUUUUUGGAAAAGAUUCAAGAGCCAUUUUUUGUUACACGCUCCUUGCUAUAGUUCAAGAGCUAUUUUUUGUUACACGCUCUAUAGUUGUGGUAAAUGUGUUGAUUGUGUUGUAUGGCAAUGGGGCAGUAAAGAGUCAUUUUUUUGAUGAAAUGAAGUUUUGUAAUGGACAUGUGUGGUGAAUCUAGUGAUUGUGUUCUAUGGAAAUGGGGACAGUAAUCAUUUUUUG
Long non-coding RNA from Amborella trichopoda, 886 nucleotides. RefSeq lists it as uncharacterized. The record is from RefSeq and is a predicted model, not a curated record. Lineage: Eukaryota; Viridiplantae; Streptophyta; Magnoliopsida; Amborellales; Amborellaceae.